This 406-nucleotide ribosomal RNA is filed under the name uncultured bacterium. Its description in RNAcentral is "bacterial SSU rRNA". It matches the Rfam family "Bacterial small subunit ribosomal RNA", at positions 28 to 420 of the family's 1533-position model. The record is from RNAcentral.
GACGAACGCUGGCGGCGUGCUUAACACAUGCAAGUCAAGGGGGUCUUGGGGGUAACCCGUGGGGCAACCGGCGAACGGGUGCGUAACACGUGAGCGACCUACCGCGGUGCGGGGGAUAGCCGGCCCAACGGCCGGGUAAUACCGCAUACGUUCUUUUGGGGGCAUCCCUGGGAGAGGAAACCUGCGAGGUAAGACUCGUGGGGCAGCGCGCGGGGCUCGCGGCCUAUCAGCUAGUUGGCGGGGUAACGGCCCACCAAGGCGANGACGGGUAGCUGGUCUGAGAGGAUGGCCAGCCACAUUGGGACUGAGAGACGGCCCAGACUCCUACGGGAGGCAGCAGUGGGGAAUCUUGCGCAAUGGCCGAAAGGCUGACGCAGCGACGCCGCGUGGAGGAUGACGCCUCGGU